UGCUGUACACCUCUUAUGGAUUGCACAACUGUGGAUAAUCUAAAGCGUGCGGGCGUGAUCGUAGGCGGGACCCAUGCAUCGUUGAGUCCCACCUGGGCUAUGUUGAUGCGAGUCAGUAUUCACUGACCGAGAAGGUGAACUUAUACCGGAUGAUUCAGCGGGGUGGCAUGAUCCUGCUGCUAAAGGUUUCGGGCACUGCUUAAAGGAGCCUGCUUGCCAUUAGCUAGAUGGUGCGGUAACGGAGCGCCAUGGCGAUGAUGGCUAUGGGGUCUGAGAGGAUGAUCCCCCACACUGGGACUGAAACACAGUCCAAACUCCUACGGGAGGCACGCAAUGAGGAAUCUUGCCCAAUGGGGGCAACCCUGACGCAGACACGCCGCGUGCCGGAAGACGGCCCUAUGGGUUGUAAACGGCUUUUAGGUGGGAAGAAUCUCCCAAAUUCCUUCGGGACUGACGGGACCGCCAGAAUAAGCACCGGCUAACUACGUGCCAGCAGCCGCGGUUAUACGGAGGGUGCAAGCGUUGUCCUGAAUUAUUGGCUGUAAAGGGUGCGCAGGCAGAUACCUACAUGGAGUGUGAAAGACGGCCCAUUAACGGCUACAGUGCCUUCGAUACGGUGUUUAUUGAAUCCCGAAGAGUUGGUGGAAUUCGAUGGGAACGUGCAAAUC
Molecule: ribosomal RNA, 668 nt
Filed under: uncultured Antarctic soil bacterium
Lineage: Bacteria
Description: bacterial SSU rRNA
Rfam family: Bacterial small subunit ribosomal RNA
Source: RNAcentral